AUGAACCCUCCAGCUUGGUGGAUGUGCUGGAGUGAAUCAGAAAGGGCAAGUUUCCUGAAGGCCUGGGUCACCAGCGUGGAAAGCUGUGCCACAGCACGCGUGCCCCUCUGUCAGUCGGCACGAGGUCCCUGCAGGUGCCUGCUCUCUGUGCACCUGGGAACAGCAACUGCAAACCCGAGUGGGUGCCUGCCAGCACACAACAUCCCUCUCACGCGAAGUAAUGCCCUCCUCAUCCCGCAAAGUGAGUUGCUUGAGUAAAUAAAUUAAUUGCACCGUCAUGAGGAAACACACACGGAAUUUGCUUUACCACGAGGCAGAAUGUAACUCAGUAGGUGACCCAAACGGAUGAGCAACAGAGCUGUGGGGAGCUUCAGCAGCAUUCUUGGAAAGCCACCAUAUUCGAGGCGGCAGCAAUUAGACAAGAGCUGGCAAGGGCUGGUGGAGACGCGGCUUUAAAUAAAACUUGGUAUUUAUUAA
This 477-nucleotide long non-coding RNA is filed under the name Anas platyrhynchos platyrhynchos (common mallard). RNAcentral describes it as "lncRNA (ENSAPLG00000019461.1)". The record is from RNAcentral. Lineage: Eukaryota; Metazoa; Chordata; Aves; Anseriformes; Anatidae.